GGUGGUUUGUUAAGUUGGAUGUGAAAGCCCUGGGCUCAACCUAGGAACUGCAUCCAAAACUAACUCACUAGAGUACGAUAGAGGGAGGUAGAAUUCAUAGUGUAGCGGUGGAAUGCGUAGAUAUUAUGAAGAAUACCAGUGGCGAAGGCGGCCUCCUGGAUCUGUACUGACACUGAGGUGCGAAAGCGUGGGUAGCGAACAGGAUUAGAUACCCUGGUAGUCCGCGCCGUAAACGAUGACAACUAGCUGUUAGGAGACUUUGUCUUUUAGUGGCGCAGCUAACGUUUUAAGUUGUCCGCCUGGGGAGUACGGCCGCAAGGCUAAAACUCAAAUGAAUUGACGGGGACCCGCACAAGCAGUGGAUCAUGUGGUUUAAUUCGAUGCAACGCGAAAAACCUUACCUACUCUUGACAUACUUGGAAGCUCUUGUAAUGAGAGUGUGCUUUUAAGAACCAAGAUACAGGUGCUGCAUGGCUGUCGUCAGCUCGUGUCGUGAGAUGUUCCGUUAAGUCGGAUAACGAGCGCAACCCUUACCCUUAUUUGCCAGCGAUUCGGUCGGGAACUAUAAGGGGACUGCCGGUGAUAAACCGGAGGAAGGUGAGGACGACGUCAAGUCAUCAUGGCCCUUACGAGUAGGGCUACACACGUGAUACAAUGGGAGAGACAGACGGACGCUAAGCCGCGAGGUGGUGCUAAUCCUAGAAACUCUCUCGUAGUCCGGAUUGGAGUCUGCAACUCGACUCCAUGAA
Molecule: ribosomal RNA, 749 nt
Filed under: uncultured marine bacterium
Lineage: Bacteria
Description: bacterial SSU rRNA
Rfam family: Bacterial small subunit ribosomal RNA
Source: RNAcentral